Molecule: ribosomal RNA, 460 nt
Filed under: uncultured bacterium
Lineage: Bacteria
Description: partial 16S ribosomal RNA
Rfam family: Bacterial small subunit ribosomal RNA
Source: RNAcentral
CCUACGGGGGGCAGCAGUGAGGAAUAUUGGUCAAUGGACGAGAGUCUGAACCAGCCAAGUAGCGUGAAGGAUGACUGCCCUAUGGGUUGUAAACUUCUUUUAUAAAGGAAUAAAACGAGGCACGUGUGCCUUUUUGCAUGUACUUUAUGAAUAAGGAUCGGCUAACUCCGUGCCAGCAGCCGCGGUAAUACGGAGGAUCCGAGCGUUAGACGGAUUUAUUGGGUUUAAAGGGAGCGUAGAUGGGUUGUUAAGUCAGUUGUGAAAGUUUGCGGCUCAACCGUAAAAUUGCAAUUGAUACUGGAAGUCUUGAGUACAGUUGAGGGAGGCGGAAUUCGUGGUGUAGCGUGGAAAUGCUUAGAUAUCACGAAGAACCCCGAUUGCGAAGGCAGCUUACUAAACUGUGACUGACAUUGAUGCUCGAAAGUGUGGGUAUCAAACAGGAUUAGAUACCCUGGUAGUC